This 353-nucleotide RNase P RNA is filed under the name Candidatus Poribacteria bacterium. RNAcentral's name for it is "RNase P RNA component class A". It matches the Rfam family "Bacterial RNase P class A". From Rfam's summary of the family: Ribonuclease P (RNase P) is a ubiquitous endoribonuclease, found in archaea, bacteria and eukarya as well as chloroplasts and mitochondria. The record is from RNAcentral. Lineage: Bacteria; Candidatus Poribacteria.
GAAGUAGAUCAGAUGGUCGCAUCUGCAUAAUGCAGGUGAGGAAAGUCCGAACUCCAUAGAGUAAGGUGCUGGGUAACGCCCAGUGAGGGCAACCUUAAGGAAUAGUCGCAACAGAAAGCAAACCGCCAGCUUAUCCGCUGGUAAGGGUGAAACGGUAGUGUAAGAGACUACCAGCAGUUGCGGUGACGUAACUGGCUAGGCAAACCCCACCUGGAGCAAGGCUGAAUAGGAGGUUCUAAGGUUACUCGCCAUCCCUCGGGUAAGCCGCUUGAGGCAUGAGGUAACUUAUGUCCCAGAUGAAUGACCAUCACCCAUUUUUGGGAACAGAAUUCGGCUUACGGUCUGCUUCUACC